AAAGCAGGAGGAGAGCGUUCUCCGGAGUUACUGGGCGUAAAGAGCGCGCAGGCGGCUGGGUAAGUGGCUUGUGAAAGCCUCCGGCUAAACGGGGGGAGGACAGGUCAGACUGCCGAGCUAGAGGAUGGUAGAGGAGCGCAGAAUUCCGGGUGUAGAGGUGAAAUGUGUAGAGAUCCGGAGGAAUACCAGUGGUGAAGACGGCGCUCUGGGCCAUUACUGACGCUGAGGCGAGAAAGCGUGGGGAGCGAACGGG
RNAcentral lists this ribosomal RNA (253 nucleotides) under uncultured bacterium. RNAcentral describes it as "partial 16S ribosomal RNA". It matches the Rfam family "Bacterial small subunit ribosomal RNA", at positions 524 to 776 of the family's 1533-position model. The record is from RNAcentral.